GGGACGCCGAGGUUAACAUUUCUGGACUCUGUUCUGUGAUGCUUGAUUCACCUUUGAAGUAAUGUGGACAGAAGUUCUCAGAUUUGGAUAUUACAUCAACUGGACCUAGCACUGUAUAUUAAUGUUCACUUAAAUCAGGACUUGCAUAAGAAAGAGAAUGGGAGUCUGGCUAAACAAAGAUGAUUAUAUCAGAGACUUGAAGAGGAUCGGUCUCUGUCUUCUGAUAGUGUAUACCGCCGUUUUAGUGGGCUCAUAUCAGGAUUUUUACAGUUUACUUGGCGUGUCCAAAACUGCAAGCAGUAGAGAAAUAAGACAAGCUUUUAAGAAAUUAGCACUGAAGUUACAUCCUGAUAAAAACCCGAAUAACCCAGAUGCACAUGGUGAUUUUUUAAAAAUAAAUAGAGCAUAUGAAGUACUCAAAGAUGAAGAUCUGCGGAAAAAGUAUGAUAAGUAUGGAGAAAAAGGACUUGAAGAUAAUCAAGGAGGCCAGUAUGAAAGCUGGAACUACUACCAUUAUGAUUUUGGUAUUUAUGAUGAUGAUCCCCAAAUCAUAACAUUAGAAAGAAGAGAAUUUGAUGCUGCUGUUAAUUCUGGAGAACUGUGGCUUGUAAAUUUUUACUCCCCAGGAUGCUCACAUUGCCAUGAUUUAGCUCCCACUUGGAGAGAAUUUGCUAAAGAAGUGGAUGGAUUACUUCGAAUUGGAGCUGUUAACUGUGGUGAUGAUCGAAUGCUUUGCCAAAUGAAAGGAGCUGACAGUUAUCCCAGCCUCUUCAUGUUUAGAUCUGGAAUGGCUGCAGUAAAAUAUAAUGGAGAUAGGUCAAAGGACAGCUUAGUGAGCUUUGCCAUGCAGCAUGUGAGGAGCACAGUGACAGAACUCUCAACAGGAAAUUUUGUUAACUCCAUACAAACUGCUUUUGCUGCUGGUGUUGGCUGGCUGAUCACAUUCUGUUCUAAAGGAAAAGAUUGACUUCACAGACACAACUCAGGCUUAGUGGCAUGUUGGAUGGUCUUGUUAAUGUAGGACGGAUGAACUGUGACACCCAGGACAACCUUUGCAAAAGUUUGGACAUUACAACAAGCACUACCGCUUAUUUUCCUCCUGGAGCCACUUUAAAUAACAAAGAAAAGUCCAGUAUUUUGUUUCUUAAUUCAUUAGAUGCUAAAGAAAUAUAUAUGGAACUCAUACAUCAUCUUCCUGACUUUGAACUACUUUCAGAAAAUACACUAGAGGACCGUUUGGCACAUCAUCGCUGGCUCAUUUUUUUUCAUUUUGGAAAAAAUGAAAAUUCACAUGAUCCUGAAUUGAAAAAACUGAAAACUCUACUUAAAAAUGAACAUAUUCAAGUUGGAAUGUUUGACUGCUCUUCUUCACCAGGCAUCUGUAGUGAUCUCUAUGUUUUUCAGCCAUGCCUAGCAAUGUUUAAAGGACAGGGAACCAAAGAAUAUGAAAUUCAUCAUGGAAAGAAGAUUCUAUAUGAUAUAUUUGCCUUUGCCAAAGAAAGUGUUAAUUCUCACGUUACCACACUUGGACCUCAAAAUUUUCCUGCCAGUGACAAAGAACCAUGGUUUGUUGACUUCUUUGCCCCUUGGUGUCCACCAUGCCGAGCUUUGUUGCCAGAGUUACGAAAAGCAUCAACGCUUCUCUAUGGUCAGCUUAAAUUUGGUACAUUGGAUUGUACAAUUCAUGAAGGACUCUGUAACAUGUAUAAUAUUCAAGCUUAUCCAACAACAGUGGUAUUCAACCAGUCCAGUAUUCAUGAGUAUGAAGGACAUCACUCUGCUGAACAGAUAUUGGAGUUCAUAGAGGAUCUUAGAAACCCUUCAGUAGUCUCUCUUUCACCUACCACUUUCAAUGAACUAGUCAAACAGAGAAAGCAUGAUGAAGUCUGGAUGGUUGACUUCUACUCUCCAUGGUGUCAUCCCUGUCAAGUCUUAAUGCCAGAGUGGAAAAGAAUGGCCCUGACAUUGACUGGACUAAUCAGUGUGGGCAGUGUGGACUGUCAACAGUAUCAUUCUUUCUGUGCCCAAGAAAAUGUUCAAAGAUACCCUGAGAUAAGAUUUUAUCCCCAAAAGUCAAAUAAAGCUCAUCAGUAUCACAGUUACAACGGCUGGAAUAGGGAUGCUUAUUCCAUGAGAAUCUGGGGUCUAGGAUUUUUGCCUCAAGCAUCUAUAGAUUUAACACCUCAGACAUUCAAUGAAAAGGUUUUACAAGGGAAAAAUCACUGGGUGGUUGAUUUCUAUGCUCCUUGGUGUGCACCUUGCCAAAAUUUUGCUCCAGAAUUUGAACUCUUGGCUAGGAUGAUCAAAGGAAAAGUGAAAGCUGGGAAAGUAGACUGUCGGGCCUAUGCCCAAACAUGCCAGAAAGCUGGUAUAAAAGCCUAUCCGACUGUUAAAUUUUAUGCUAAUUCUCAACUUCAGCUUGUGAUCAUAUUAGCUUGUCAUGAGAUCAUAGGCACUGUAAUGGUUCUAAAGUGUCUGACCUGUGACUGCAAUUUGGAGUGGCUCUUUUCAGGCAUGUCUAUCCAGAAUGAGUAG
Nannospalax galili (Upper Galilee mountains blind mole rat) is the source of this 2535-nucleotide RNA transcript. It is a transcript of the gene named dnaJ homolog subfamily C member 10 pseudogene, with no coding region annotated. The record is from RefSeq and is a predicted model, not a curated record. Lineage: Eukaryota; Metazoa; Chordata; Mammalia; Rodentia; Spalacidae. The transcript is spliced from 2 exons.